UCUCUCUCUCUAAAUUCUUUUACUCCAAAAUAAAAUAUAAUUAUAAAAACCGGAACAAUGAGUAUUGUGUUGAACAACGCAAAUCAAAAGAUGAAGUGUCAUGUUUUAGCAUAAUGACGUCAUAUCAAUAACAUUAAUUUGAAUUGAAAUCGGCUUAUUGCAAUGAUACGUGCGAUGGUAACUGGUUGUACGAGACUUGUAAUUGUAUCGAAUAAUUCAUUAUCAUACUGCGGAAUGCAAAUGUCUCUUAAUGCGAGCGUAGGAACAGUAGACCUUUUUCUCGUCUUUAGUCUCGCGGCGUGCUUCCAUCACGGUGCAGGCGAUCGGCAAAUAAUCGAGAAGCUAAGCGACGGGAAAAUUGCGAUCGGAGGGUGACCAAUCGCCCGUGAAAAUUGAAAAACUAUUUCGAUCUAUAGCGCUCGCAUGCAAAAGGGAUAUCGAGUUUGCCGUUACGUACCCAACCCAAUCUCCGCGAUUGAGUGUCUUUUGAGUCUGCGACGUUACGAGAUAAAAUAUCCGAUUUUAUAGGAUUGUAUAUCCAAUUAUUGUAUAAAGUGAUCAACGACGAAUAAUAGCCAGGCUAUUAGGUUUAUUCCACUUUCCUCGCAUGCAACUCUACACGUAAUACGAACGAUUCAAAGUCUCUGUUGUACAAUCUAAUCAAUGUAAUAUUUAUAUCUAUCGAGCAUUAUCUCUGAAACGCGCUAUUGCGUCACGGCAUAAUAACAUCCACAACGAGCAUACAUAAUUAAUAACGAUAGUGAGUGAUAUCAUAGACGUGAUCAUAGAAACGCCAUUUGUGCUAUAUACAUUAAUAAAUGAAAUGAUAUCCGGAUAUUAUUACACAAUUUAAAGAUGUCCAAAGUAUUCUAAGUGCAGAGGGGAAGGGGAAAGGACGCGGAACAAAGAGCUCUUCCGCGGAGCAGCUGCGUGAUGUGUCGACCCUCGGAAGUGGGCCUUUUUUCAGACAUUUUGGUCAGAGAUAACAUAUUAGAGAACAUUUUUCGGCGAGAUUUUUCGACAACGGCGACAGCCGCCUCUAUCUCCGUUGAAAAUAUUCUCGGCCAUUUUUCGUCCCCACCAAUAUAAUCCACCUUCUGAAAGAAAAGCAUCGAAGCCGUGAAGGUGGGGAAACCGUUAGAGAAUAAAACAAUGGAAAAAGUACCGCCAUCUUUAAUUCUGUCCCUAUUCGCCCUCCAGCGAUGAGUGAAGGGCAGUUUAUUCGGGAAAGAAGAAAAGAAUAAAGAGAACUGGUACAGCUGAUAUGGGACUGAUACAACUAAUGUAUCUUGGGACACCAUAGAAAUCGACAAGUUCGAAUCAUAAAUGCUAGAUGGAGAUGCUCAUCGCAACACAACCAAUUUGUGUGUCAAUUUGAUUAUUGAAUUAUUAUGUUGUAUCUUUGUUAUUGAUUUAUUAAAUAAAUCAUGAUAAUACUAGAUGAUUAUUCAUUAAUGACACGUACAUCAAUGAUAACGUACGUUUAAUGUUAUAAUGUCAAAUGAGUUUUAUCAUUUGUUGUCAUAGUCGCGAGAGAUUGAUAAUAGAAAAUGAGGCAUUUUAUUAUAACAAUAUUGUAAUUUUUCUUAUUCGCAAUUUCAUUAGCUUUAUAAACUACUGACUAAUUAAAAAGAUUAGAUUAAAGCAAACUUUUUUUCGAAAUUAAAUAUCUAAAAUUCUUUUCUUAUUUAUUUUCGUUCUAAAAAAAUUAAUUUAAAGAAUAAAGUUAAUCAAUCGUGACAAUCGAGAAUGCUCCAUUAUUCUAUUCUAUUAAUAAUGCAUCACUGUACUAGAGGUAUUUAGUUAUAUCAUGACCUUGUAGUUUUCUGAUAUUAAUAUAACAAGAAAGCAAAAAAAUUGAAUGAUCAUAGUUUAAUGAAAAGAAAAAACUUCAUGAUUAUUCCAUAUAAUUAUAUAACCUUGCAAUGGCUCGAUCAUUAUGUAUAACACAUUCAUUAUAUUCGCUAUCUUAUUUGAACUGAAUACACGCAGUAAUAAAAAGGAAUUGAAAGGAUUGAUAAACAGAUAUUAUGUAAUAAUAUUAUGUAAUAAUGUAACAGAUAUUAUAUAAAUUGAGGGAAACUGAUAACAUCAGCAGUUGUAUAAUGAUUAUAUGAAAUAUAUAUAAUAUAGUAU
Molecule: long non-coding RNA, 2136 nt
Organism: Pogonomyrmex barbatus (red harvester ant)
Lineage: Eukaryota; Metazoa; Arthropoda; Insecta; Hymenoptera; Formicidae
Source: RefSeq, a predicted model, not a curated record